RNAcentral lists this ribosomal RNA (497 nucleotides) under uncultured bacterium. Its description in RNAcentral is "partial 16S ribosomal RNA". It matches the Rfam family "Bacterial small subunit ribosomal RNA", at positions 28 to 507 of the family's 1533-position model. The record is from RNAcentral.
GACGAACGCUGGCGGCGUGCCUAAUACAUGCAAGUCGAACGCUGAAGCUUGGUGCUUGCACCGAGCGGAUGAGUUGCGAACGGGUGAGUAACGCGUAGGUAACCUGCCUGGUAGCGGGGGAUAACUAUUGGAAACGAUAGCUAAUACCGCAUAAGAGUAGAUGUUGCAUGACAUUUGCUUAAAAGGUGCAAUUGCAUCACUACCAGAUGGACCUGCGUUGUAUUAGCUAGUUGGUGAGGUAACGGCUCACCAAGGCAACGAUACAUAGCCGACCUGAGAGGGUGAUCGGCCACACUGGGACUGAGACACGGCCCAGACUCCUACGGGAGGCAGCAGUAGGGAAUCUUCGGCAAUGGACGGAAGUCUGAACGAGCAACGCCGCGUGAGUGAAGAAGGGUUUCGGAUCGUAAAGCUCUGUUGUAAGAGAAGAACGAGUGUGAGAGUGGAAAGUUCACACUGUGACGGUAUCUUACCAGAAAGGGACGGCUAACUACGUG